AAAGUCUGUGAGAGUCUAGAAGUACCUGAAUGACUCACUUUCUAGAAAACACAAGUUUAUUUGAUGAAGAAACCUGUGUUUGGUUUUUACAUUUCUUCAUGUGUGGCUAUCAUUGAGCCUUGAUUGAGGAAAUUUGGAUACCGUGUGGAGGGGUAUAAAAAGCUCUUUCAAAUUUUUUGAGUUCUGAUUAAGAUGACGAAAGUCCCACUGUGGUCACUUUAAAUAGUGUUCAUUAUGUAGUUUUUUUUAAAAAAGAGAAUGAUUGGAUAGGGUACUCCCUGAGUUUAUGGAAUACUAAGGAAAACCAUUCAAGAGUUUAAAUAUGCUGUCAUCAACAUCGCCGCCAACAAGAAUUAUCCCACAAUUAUUUACAUGCCAAAAAUUCAUUAGGAAAAAUAUGAACAGAUUUUGUUUGGCCUGGGUGAGGCUUGUCCAGGUCUUAUGUGUAAACAUAAGGUAUUUUUUAGAAUCAGGGAAUUUUUUCACUUGAGACUUCCUAUCUAGUUGUUACUCUGUGUGUGUGUGUGUGUGUGUGUGUGUGUGUUACAUGUGUGGUGUCAUGUAUGUGUCUGUGUAGGUGUGAGUUCACAUGUAUUUGAAUGCCUCUGGAGGUCAGAGGUUGACCUCUGGCAUCUUGUUUUUGAGACAGGGCCUCUCAGUGAACCUGGAGCUCACUGAUUUAGCUAGAGAGGCUGGCUAAAUCAGGAAUCUGCUAGCUCUCUCAUCCCUUCUUCCCUUCAGCAAUGGGGUUAAAUAUGCAUCCUCUGCACCAGCCUUCCCAUGGGUGUUGAAGCUCUGAAUUCAGGUCCUCAUGCAUCCAUGGCAGGUGCAUUGCCAUUUGAGCCAACUGCCCAGGCGUAUCUCAGAUGAUGCCCUUGUAUCUGUUCCUGGCACUUAGGUUGCCUGCCCUAUACAAGUGCGUGCGUGUGUGUGUGUGUGUGUGUGUGUGUGCGCGCGCGCGCGCGCGCGCGCGCGCGCGCAUGUACAAUAGAUAGAAAGAUGGAGAGAGAGAGCGAGAGAGCGAGCGAGCGAGAGAGAGAGAGAGAGAGAGAGAGAGAGAGAGAGAUAUCUUACGCAUUUUCGUCCACCACAGUACUUUAAAUGUUACAGUUGACCAAUGUAUAUUGGAUGGCACUCAUGAUUCAUUUAGAUUUUAUGCUUUAAAAAAAAAAUACUUUCUAAGACUUUUAGAUUCUAGUCCAGUUGAAACAGCCUUUUGUCUUUUACGCUCAUAAGACUGUAGACUGUUCUCGAUGAAUGGUGCAUCUUUUUAGAAAAUUCCUUCGCUAAGUGGGAAAACAGCCUUAGGGAGGUUAAGUGACUGUCCCAGCUCACUAGCUAGUUAGUGAUGGUAUUCAGACCAGGAUAUAACUUAAGGUGCAGUUGAAAGCAGCUACUUACUGCUUUUUUAAAAACUAAAUGUUGCUUCAUGGUGGUGAUAAUGGUAUAAUUUAUCAGUGUCCAAGUGUUUGUUUACACUGGUUAUGCACACAGAACAGUAAACAUUAUCAUCAAGUCUAUGUAACAUCAAUAAAGGGUUUUAUUCUGAAAAUGAUCUUUAGUGGAGACAUUUAAAAACAGAGAAAUGUGGUGAAUAGAAUGGCAGGAUGGAGACAGCAGUUACAGGUGACUGCAGUGACAGGUGAGAGCAGUGACAGGUGACUGACAGCACUGACAGGUGACCACAGUGACAAGUGACUGACAGCAGUGACAGGUGACAGCAGUGACAGGUGACUGUCAGUGACAGGUGACCACAGUGACAAGUGACUGACAGCAGUGAUGGCGACCGCAGUGACAGACAGGUGUCAGCAGUGACAGUUGACACCCGUGAAGCAUUGACAGGAAGAAGACAUGGGAGCAUGUGGAGAAUUAGCCUUGUGCUUAGUGCUGUGGAUGCCAAUAUUCUCAUAGUUCUAAUAUAAAACUGUACAUCUCUAAAAAUAAAAAAAAUCUAGGAUAUUUUGGUAACAUUCCGUUGUAAUGGUGUAAUCUUGCUUUUGGAUUCAACAUAUUACUUUAUAUAAAGUAAUGCAAGCACGUAAUUUGGUUUUAAUAGCUUCAGUUUUAUUAGGAACAGAAUAUAAAGAUGCAAUCUCAGGGCUGGCAGCAUUUGGGAGUAUAAUUGGACAGUGCAGCGUGAUUUAGGCUGUUGUAUGAGAUGACUCUUCUGUUUAGGUCAUCAACUGCCUACAUCAUGCAAUUCCUGUAAUUUUGAAGCGCUUUGAACACAUUCAGCUUCAAUUAUCUGACAGGUGUUCUCGUUCAGAAUUUUGGAUUUCCGUGGCUUUGAGCUCUAGAGAUGAUUUAAGUUAUUUCCUCUUUAUUAGCCCAGAAGAUUAGGGCAAGAAAGAAGAAAAUGGUGGUAUCCUUCCUCUACCUAUGUCUGGGCAGCAGGGGGCGUGCUUGCUUUGUGUCCUCAGGGCAUUAGUUGGGCCUAGCCUGUUCACUAAUCACUUCCAUUGUGAAUUUGAUCACUGAGGUCUCAGUGGCACCCUAAAGUUGGCUGAUCCGAAUAACUAACCACUCAGAGUUAGGAUUCAACUAAGAGUUGACUAUACAAGACAUGUUCUUCAGGAGAAUGUGACUUGGCCUUUGAUCAGUUGGGGAUUGGGGCCAUCUCACUAACAUGCCAUAGGACGGAUAAUUUGUGACUCACCUUUGAAGUGUGAUGGAUGUUCAGGCCCUGACAGUUGGUCCUUUGACCACAGGAAAGUCACUUUCAAGAUUUUCGGGGCAUCUCUUGUGAAUGUACCUGCAUGUGUGGGAGAUCAAGGGACUGGGCUUCCUUUUCAUUCACUCUCUCUCCUUCCUGUGGUUCUCUUCCCUUCCCAGGGAUUCAACAACACAUGCUGGUUUUUUUGGAAUUCCUCCCCUUUAAAUGGAAAUAUUUUCAAUACUACUCUAGGACCUGGGGUUAUGUACUUUACUGUAAAAGGAUGUGAGGUGGGGGUCUUAGCUAGUGUUUUUUUUUCUGAACAUGGGCACUUGUAAUUGGCCUAUGGUGUUUUGUUUGGCUUGAAAUCCUUGAGUAAUAACCAUCUUUGCUGUGUCGUGAUGUUCCUGGUUUUGGUGACAACCCAAGAUGGCAUCCCUAAUCUCAGAAUGGUGCCGUUCAUUGUCCAUUUAAUGAUCAGUUUCCAAAACGUUCUUUUUUACUUCCUACAAAAAUCAUUUUGUGGUCACCCCACGAUCAAACAAGCCUUUAUUGUCGUAUUGAAAAGACCUGGCAUUAGUUUCCUUUGAUUUCAGGACAUAAUAGAAAAAUAGUCCACAUUGAGAAAUAAAUAAACUGACCAAACAAAAGAGCUCGCUUCUGUCUAUGGUGACAGACAUAUUUUGAUGGGUUUAGAUUCCUUUCAUUUUCCAGAGUAUAAUUAAAAUAGCAACAAUUAUAAAAGCAGCCUUUCUUGCCAAAAUUGGAAGAAUUUCAAAAUUCAAAAAAAAAAGUAAAGAUCCCCAAA
This is a long non-coding RNA of Mus pahari (shrew mouse), 3461 nucleotides long. RefSeq lists it as uncharacterized. The record is from RefSeq and is a predicted model, not a curated record. The transcript has 3 exons. NCBI's taxonomy places the organism in Eukaryota, Metazoa, Chordata, Mammalia, Rodentia, Muridae.